Molecule: ribosomal RNA, 1273 nt
Filed under: uncultured bacterium
Lineage: Bacteria
Description: bacterial SSU rRNA
Rfam family: Bacterial small subunit ribosomal RNA
Source: RNAcentral
AGAGGGGGACCGGGGGGGGUCUCUAGAGAUUAGGAGUUUGAUCCUGGCUCAGAUUGAACGCUGGCGGCAGGCCUAACACAUGCAAGUCGAGCGGCAGCACGGGAAGCUUGCUUCCUGGUGGCGAGCGGCGGACGGGUGAGUAAUGCAUAGAAAUCUGCCCGGUAGUGGGGGAUAACCUGGGGAAACCCAGGCUAAUACCGCAUACGUCCUACGGGAGAAAGCAGGGGAUCUUCGGACCUUGCGCUAUCGGAUGAGUCUAUGUCGGAUUAGCUUGUUGGUGAGGUAAUGGCUCACCAAGGCGACGAUCCGUAGCUGGUCUGAGAGGAUGAUCAGCCACAUCGGGACUGAGACACGGCCCGAACUCCUACGGGAGGCAGCAGUGGGGAAUAUUGGACAAUGGGCGAAAGCCUGAUCCAGCCAUGCCGCGUGUGUGAAGAAGGCCUUCGGGUUGUAAAGCACUUUCAGUGGGGAAGAAAGCCUUGGGGCUAAUACCCUCGAGGAAGGACAUCACCCACAGAAGAAGCACCGGCUAACUCCGUGCCAGCAGCCGCGGUAAUACGGAGGGUGCGAGCGUUAAUCGGAAUUACUGGGCGUAAAGCGCGCGUAGGCGGUCUGAUAAGCCGGUUGUGAAAGCCCCGGGCUCAACCUGGGAACGGCAUCCGGAACUGUCAGGCUAGAGUGCAGGAGAGGAAGGUAGAAUUCCCGGUGUAGCGGUGAAAUGCGUAGAGAUCGGGAGGAAUACCAGUGGCGAAGGCGGCCUUCUGGACUGACACUGACGCUGAGGUGCGAAAGCGUGGGUAGCAAACAGGAUUAGAUACCCUGGUAGUCCACGCCGUAAACGAUGUCGACUAGCCGUUGGGCUCCUUGAGAGCUUUGUGGCGCAGUUAACGCGAUAAGUCGACCGCCUGGGGAGUACGGCCGCAAGGUUAAAACUCAAAUGAAUUGACGGGGGCCCGCACAAGCGGUGGAGCAUGUGGUUUAAUUCGAUGCAACGCGAAGAACCUUACCUACCCUUGACAUCGUGCGAACUUGGUAGAGAUACCUUUGGUGCCUUCGGGAGCGCACAGACAGGUGCUGCAUGCUGUCGUCAGCUCGUGUUGUGAAAUGUGGGUAAGUCCCGUAACGAGCGCAACCCUGUUCUUAUUUGCCAGCGCGUAAUGGCGGACUCUAGGAGACUGCGUGACAACGAGAAGGUGGGACGACGUUCAGUCUAUCAUGGCUAACGUUAAGCUUACCACGUGUCUACAAUGGCCGGUAUCAAGGGGUUGCAAGA